Non-coding RNA from Manis javanica (Malayan pangolin), 2543 nucleotides. The record is from RefSeq and is a predicted model, not a curated record. NCBI's taxonomy places the organism in Eukaryota, Metazoa, Chordata, Mammalia, Pholidota, Manidae.
CACUCUGUGGUCCGUGUUGCAUGGAAAGAAAAGGGACCUGAGAUAUGGGAAAACAUGACCUCCUGGGCGGGGCUAAUGGCUUGGUUCUGCUUGCUGGGGAGACCAGCCCCAAACUAGGGCUCCUUUCUUCCAGGCCCUCAGUGAAUCCUUACGCCUAUCUCUUCAGUUCUGCGGGUUUGAUGGGGCUCAGCUGAGUGGUUCUGGCUUGUGUCUCUUCUGGGGCUGCGGUCAGAUGACAACUGAUGCUGGAGGGAUCUAAGGGCUCCGCUUGGCUGGGUGUCCGAAAUGGCCUCUUCACUCACAGGUCUGGCACCUUAGCAGGACAGCUACAACAUCUGGAGGCUGGUCAGGCAUCUCUCUUGCCACAUGGCAUCUCCAUGUGGUUAGUGAGCUUUCUUAUAGUGUGGUAGAAUCAAGCGAGCUGGACUUCUUAUGCAGUGUCUGGCUUCAUCCAGGGCAAGCUUUCCAACAGGCCAAGGCUGCAGCUGUGGAAGUCACAUGACCUAGCGUUGGCAGCCGCAUGCCAUCAUUUUGGUGCAUUGACUAUGAGAGAUGUGGCUCAUGGUCCAGGUGCAGGGCGUCUGUAGAGACUAAUUAUCAUGGGGGUGGGGAGAUUACCCUGAAUUAUCCUGGUGGAUCCAAUGUAAUGCCACUGGUUGUUGUAAGUGAAAGAUGGAGGCAAGAAAGUUGUAUCAGAGGAGACGUGGUGACAGAAGCAGAGGUUGAAUGAUGUGAUUGCUGGCUUUGAAGAUGGAAAAGGACCAUGAAUCAAGGAAUGUGGGCAGCUCUAGAAGCUGGAAAAGUCAAGGACUGGGUUUUCCCCUCAAAACCUCCAGUUGGAGUGCAGCCCUGCCCACAGUGAGACUUAGCCCACUGAGACUUCUGACCCUCAGAACUCUAAGUUAAGACAUCAGCCAGCAGAUCAGAAGCACAAGAUGCAUAUCCUUCAGCCGUGAGCCAACGGAGGACCAGAGAGUCGUAACCGCAUCAGGCUCUCUGAGCUGGAAGCAAUUUCAAAGGGCAAAAGACCAACCCCUGGUUAUCCAGAUGAGGAACCCAGACCACAGAGAGAAAUGACUUGUCACUUGUCACAUCAGCCAGUAAGCUGGUGGCAGGACAGGCAUGAGAACUCUUAUUUCUUAAUUUUGGGGCCAGUCUCUAGGCUGCUCCUUGAGGAUGAAAGUGGAGAAGGGAAGGGAGAAAAAUAACAGAUACAUGUGGAGGAGGAAAAAAGGGAUUAAGGAGGAAAAGGAAGAGGCAGAGGGGAGAGGGAACAAUCAAAGUGAGGGGGCCAGAGUUCUCCAGACCCGCGGGUCCCAGAUGCUGUCUGACGACCAGCCACACAGUGUCAUCCGGCAAGAUAAAAGAAAAUAAAGUAUUUCCUAAAAUAGAAGGUGAGGGAAAAAUAAGGGCAAGUUUAAAAAGAAUGGGAAGUAGUGUUAUAAAAAUAUAAAUAGUGGGUACCAAUACUGACCCCAUAUUUUUGUUGUGCAGACUGAGGGAGAUUAAAGAUGUAGAUGUGCCUACUUGUGCACUGCAAAUCCCUGUGAAAACACCAGCUGUGUGACCUCAGGCAGGUCACCUCUCCUCUCUGCGUCGAACACAAGGUGCAACCACAUUGUCUGAGCAAGAACUGAAACUGCUGAGGCCGUCGAGGAAGAACACAGGAUGUUUCUGCUCAGAUAGUCCUUCAGUCCCUCUGCCCCAUCACGUUCACCUACCAGAGCUAAUGCAGGGGAGCAUUGAUCCAGAACAUGUGGGCAACAAAUCCCUUUUGCCUUAAUUGCCCAGAUGCGGCUGAGCGUGCAGGAGCCGGGGGCAUUCCACUCCUGCCCUGUCCACUGUGUCCUGCCUGCUGGGCCAGGCCAAGGCCCCCAACGUCACACGAUGGCACCUUGUGCCCGGUGCUCAGCACCCUUGGGCCACAGGACCAGGUUGGGCAGGCAAACUCCAUUUCUAGCUCAUCAGCAACUCAUUUUCAGAAGUUACCCCUUGGGGAGCUUGUUAAAAGGCCGUUGGUAUUCCCACGAGGGGGGCUCAAUUUGCCUUUAUGAAUGAACUGCUCCAGAGAAAUCAAUGAACAUGUCAUUCAGGUCAAGUAAACACAUGUGUUUUCUCUAUGGGGCCCAGUGCAGGGGUGGCUGAGCCUCCCUGUGGGCCUCAGCGGUCCCGAGAAGCUGCUCUGUCUGGGCCAAACCCUGGCUUCAGUCAGCACCCUGGGCUCUGGUUGCCACCCAGUUCCUGUGUGCUCCACCCCCACCUCUGUGUGGGGGGCCUGUUCCCAGAGACAGAGGAGUAGAAGUAGCAUCUUUGGUAUUUUAUGGUUGGGAAAGAUCCUGCAGAAAAAUCUUUCUCGGUUUUUGCAUUCCACCUUCCCUCUUCCUCAUUCAUUGACUCAGGGGACAUUUAUUAAGCACCUAGUAUGUGCCAGUCCUGUAUAUUCUAGGUGCAGGAACUCAGUGACUCAUAAGACAUGGGCCUUGACUGGGUCAAAGGACUCACAUUCUGUGUAGUGGUUCCUUCUGCCCUAGAAUCACUGCAGC